GUACCUACGGGGGGCAGCAGUGAGGAAUAUUGGUCAAUGGACGCAAGUCUGAACCAGCCAUGUCGCGUGAAGGAAGACGGUUCUAUGAGUUGUAAACCUCUUUUGUACGAGGGUAAACGCAGAUACGUGUAUCUGUCUGCAAGUAUCGUACGAAAAAGGAACGGCUAACUCCGGGCCAGCAGCCGCGGUAAUAAGGAGGAUUCACGCGUUAUCCGGAUUUAUUGGGUUUAAAGGGUGCGUAGGCGGUCGGGUAAGUUAGGGGUGAAAUUCCGCGGCUC
Molecule: ribosomal RNA, 278 nt
Filed under: uncultured bacterium
Lineage: Bacteria
Description: partial 16S ribosomal RNA
Rfam family: Bacterial small subunit ribosomal RNA
Source: RNAcentral